UCCCUGGUGGUCUAGUGGUCAGAAUUUGGCGUUCUCACUGCCACUGCCUGGGUUCGAUUCCCAGUCAGGGAA
Non-coding RNA from Chelonoidis abingdonii (Abingdon island giant tortoise), 72 nucleotides. NCBI's taxonomy places the organism in Eukaryota, Metazoa, Chordata, Testudines, Testudinidae. The record is from the annotation of a RefSeq genome assembly.